This 1372-nucleotide ribosomal RNA is filed under the name uncultured bacterium. Its description in RNAcentral is "bacterial SSU rRNA". It matches the Rfam family "Bacterial small subunit ribosomal RNA", at positions 28 to 1381 of the family's 1533-position model. The record is from RNAcentral.
GAUGAACGCUGGCGGCGUGCCUAAUACAUGCAAGUCGAGCGAACGGACGAGAAGCUUGCUUCUCUGAUGUUAGCGGCGGACGGGUGAGUAACACGUGGAUAACCUACCUAUAAGACUGGGAUAACUUCGGGAAACCGGAGCUAAUACCGGAUAAUAUUUUGAACCGCAUGGUUCAAAAGUGAAAGACGGUCUUGCUGUCACUUAUAGAUGGAUCCGCGCUGCAUUAGCUAGUUGGUAAGGUAACGGCUUACCAAGGCAACGAUGCAUAGCCGACCUGAGAGGGUGAUCGGCCACACUGGAACUGAGACACGGUCCAGACUCCUACGGGAGGCAGCAGUAGGGAAUCUUCCGCAAUGGGCGAAAGCCUGACGGAGCAACGCCGCGUGAGUGAUGAAGGUCUUCGGAUCGUAAAACUCUGUUAUUAGGGAAGAACAUAUGUGUAAGUAACUGUGCACAUCUUGACGGUACCUAAUCAGAAAGCCACGGCUAACUACGUGCCAGCAGCCGCGGUAAUACGUAGGUGGCAAGCGUUAUCCGGAAUUAUUGGGCGUAAAGCGCGCGUAGGCGGUUUUUUAAGUCUGAUGUGAAAGCCCACGGCUCAACCGUGGAGGGUCAUUGGAAACUGGAAAACUUGAGUGCAGAAGAGGAAAGUGGAAUUCCAUGUGUAGCGGUGAAAUGCGCAGAGAUAUGGAGGAACACCAGUGGCGAAGGCGACUUUCUGGUCUGUAACUGACGCUGAUGUGCGAAAGCGUGGGGAUCAAACAGGAUUAGAUACCCUGGUAGUCCACGCCGUAAACGAUGAGUGCUAAGUGUUAGGGGGUUUCCGCCCCUUAGUGCUGCAGCUAACGCAUUAAGCACUCCGCCUGGGGAGUACGACCGCAAGGUUGAAACUCAAAGGAAUUGACGGGGACCCGCACAAGCGGUGGAGCAUGUGGUUUAAUUCGAAGCAACGCGAAGAACCUUACCAAAUCUUGACAUCCUUUGACAACUCUAGAGAUAGAGCCUUCCCCUUCGGGGGACAAAGUGACAGGUGGUGCAUGGUUGUCGUCAGCUCGUGUCGUGAGAUGUUGGGUUAAGUCCCGCAACGAGCGCAACCCUUAAGCUUAGUUGCCAUCAUUAAGUUGGGCACUCUAAGUUGACUGCCGGUGACAAACCGGAGGAAGGUGGGGAUGACGUCAAAUCAUCAUGCCCCUUGUGAUUUGGGCUACACACGUGCUACAAUGGACAAUACAAAGGGCAGCGAAACCGCGAGGUCAAGCAAAUCCCAUAAAGUUGUUCUCAGUUCGGAUUGUAGUCUGCAACUCGACUACAUGAAGCUGGAAUCGCUAGUAAUCGUAGAUCAGCAUGCUACGGUGAAUACGUUCCCGGGUCU